RNAcentral lists this long non-coding RNA (2263 nucleotides) under Gossypium barbadense (sea-island cotton). RNAcentral's name for it is "long non-coding RNA (GBAR_LNC015964)". Lineage: Eukaryota; Viridiplantae; Streptophyta; Magnoliopsida; Malvales; Malvaceae. The record is from RNAcentral.
CUGCUUCAUCCCAAUUACCAGUUUCCUCAAAGGAACGAAUCAAUCUCGUUGUUUGAAGGCCAUCCAUGACCGGCAUGCACACAUCCUGCAAGAUUAAAUUUGUAAGUGGUUGCUAAUAAACUCCAAGUCUUUCAGAACUCGAAUGCAGACGUAAAACUUGAGCAGAUUUAAACCCUGUAGAAAGCAACUCUUAUAUGCAGUAGGGAAGGAAAGAGAGGAAGGAAUUACCAUCAAGACAAGAUCAUAACUAUGGUACUGAAUUGCACGGACAGCUUCUACACCAUUGCUCACAACAUCUAUUGUGUGGCCUAACUGCUUCAUCAUUGACCGCGUCACCAUUACAUUAAUUUUAUUAUCUUCCACCAGGAGGAUCUUUGGCUUUGAGAUAGAAUUUGAUGCUUCUCGGCUGCUGUUUAAUGUGGACUGAAAACCGCUGUCAGAUCUCCCCUGCCUCUCCGCUGGUAGCUGGGGCUCAGUUAUCUUCUCUUUCACAUCCACCUCUCUGCUUGUCUCUGAGCAACUUGACACAUCUCUGGUAGAAACUUUGUUCUCAGCAUUUACAACAUUGUGAUGAUGCUCGUCUCUGCAAAUUGCACUUUCAUUAUCGUGGUCUGGGCUGUGACUAAAUGAACUUUCAGGCUCAGGUGAUAUCUCUAAAGCUUCAGCAACAGAACAAGCAUCCUCAAAUAAAUCCAUCUCCUUUGUUUGACCAUUACUCGUGGGAAAUGAAUAACAAUUCUCUGAGAACCCAUUAAUUUUAUGCGAAUUUACAUAGCCAAUAUUAUGUGCUAAUAAAUUUUGGGUUCUGCUAGAUCCAUUAGAAGCAAAUAGGGAACCCAAAGUACGUGGCUGGAAUUGGAAAAAGCCAGCCGUUGCAUCAUCAUCCGUAGCACCAUGAUCAUCCAUAUCUGAGAGGUUGUCAUCCGCGUCAUCAGAAUGAUCACAUGAUAGAGAAACCUUAUAAGGUAAGAUAAACGUAAAUGUAGAACCGCAAUGCACUUGGCUGGACACAGUAAGACGGCCGCCCAUUAACUCAACCUGUAGCGAAGGCAAGGAAUGUUAGGACUUAGUUUUGUACUAGCAAGAGUAUCAAUCGAAUCUCUGCAAAAAUCAACAACUUAAAUCUUUCAAGUAAAAUGAAAAUAUGCUUAAAAUAUAUAGAUUUACAAACUUCCCAACUUUUCAAUGAUCUGGAAUUUAGCAUUGUUGAGAGUAAUGAGCUGUAAGUAAACACUGCAGAUAUUUUGGCACGUGAAGAGCAGCAGUGUCUUAAAAAGGAACUAGAAGAUGUUGAAAACUUGGAAAGAAUCUAUUUUUAUUCUAAUAUCAAAUUAUAUGCUUUUCUUCACUGCAAAACUAGGAUAGUUAGUUAAACUAGACCUACUGAGAUUUAUAUCAUAAUUAUCUGAUCUGCUAAACUGUUUCUUUAAGCAGAAGCAAGAAGAGGGAAGGCAAAUUGUAUCAAUUGUGGCGGGGGAAAACAUUAUUGUUGAUGGAAGGAAGAAUUCACCAGCUGUUUACAUAUUGCGAGGCCAAGUCCUGUCCCACCGUACUUACGGGCAUGAUCGGCACUGACUUGCAUGUACUUCUUAAAAAGUGUGGGUAAAGCAUUUUCUGUCACAGCACAGGAGAUAUCAAGUUCUAACAAAACCUCUGAUUUCUUGUGAUAAUGCAAAUGAUUAAAGAAAAGCAUAUUCAUGUACCAGGUAUGCCAAUUCCAGUGUCAUAUACAUCACAGCGAAUCCAAACUGUUGUUUCAGGUAAUUCUGCUUGCUCCUCGGUUACAUCUAUUGUUCCAUUCGUUACUGGCGUACCACGUUCACUUUGUGAACGGUCUUGGCAAGAACCUUCGUGUUUCUUACCAUGAAAUCCUCUCUGGUCACUGCUAGUUUGAGACGUUGAUGUACAUGUCUCUUCUUUUGGUACAUUAGUUGUGGAUUGAUUAGCAGUUGAUCCAGCAGACCCAUUCUGAGAUCCUUCUUUUGCAAAAGGCGGCUCUGGGACUACAUAAAGUUUUACUCCUACCUUUCCUUCAUGUGUAAACUUGAUAGCAUUGCUGAAGAGAAAGAAAGGUUGUUCACAUAACAUGCAAGAAAUGAAAGUAAUGAAUACUAAUCAUUCAGGAAGAUUUUCUCAGCAUAGUUGUCAGAACCAUUCAUUUCCUAAUGACAAAAAAAACUAAGUUCAUAGUUGCUGAAACGCAUGACAUUUAAUUCUCUAAACAAUCAGUUACACGCAAUGUUUUCAUGAUAAUCUAUAGGAA